CGGGAAAUAGCUUAGCUUGGUAAAGCGCUACGUUCGGGACGUAGAGACCGCAGGUUCAAAUCCUGUUUUCCCGACCA
Molecule: transfer RNA, 77 nt
Filed under: Firmicutes bacterium CAG:822
Lineage: Bacteria; Bacillati; Bacillota
Description: transfer RNA-Pro(CGG)
Rfam family: tRNA
About the family: Transfer RNA (tRNA) molecules are approximately 80 nucleotides in length. Their secondary structure includes four short double-helical elements and three loops (D, anti-codon, and T loops).
Source: RNAcentral